UUGACAGGCUUCAGCCUCCCUUGUCAGUGCAGAAGCCCAACUGCCUAUGUCCUUGAAGUUGAACUGCCCUUGAAUGGAAGGGUUGAGACGUCUUAGCGAGAAGUUGGCCUGUUUGAGUUUAGAAGCUUUUCUCGGACGAUGACAUGGAGAUCCAUUGAUAGAGGGCAGGUGACUCGCUCUAAUCCCACCUCAGGUCUCCCUCUCUCUCUCUCUCUCUCUCUCUCUCUCUCUCUCUGUUUUAAUUAUUUAUUUCCCUCAUAAUUUUCUGUUUGGUUGUAGAGAAAAAAAAAAAAAACAGCUUUUUGCAUUUUCUCAGCAACGAAACAGUUAUCGAAGCGAAACCUUUUUCCCCCUUCAUACGCUGCCUCUCCCUCUUUAUUCUCUGCUUAGUUACGAAGGUGUUUGGUUUAUCUUCAUAGUCUACAUUUUUCUCUCUUCAUUUAUUGCUUAAUUUAGAAGGUCUGUGAUUAAUGAAGAAGAAUGUCGGUGAGAAACUUGAAAUGUACAUCGAUAUAAUUAAUUUUAAGUUUUGAGGGUAAAGGAAGAUAAUUUCAAGUCGUCAUUUGGUUAAAUAUUAAUAAUUUGGGGGCUAUAAUGUAAUUUUUGAACUUGCUUAUAACACUGAUUUAAAAGGGUAACAAUGGUAUUUCGAUAGCCAAUGGGGGAAUCUAUAUAUACGGAGUCUAAUGAUCGGUAGAAUUGAUGUUUCCAAAAUCAGGGGUUUAAACGUAAGUCUGCAAACUUAGUGAGAACAAUAAUCCGACCAUCAAUAAAAUUAUGUUAUUUUGUUUUAAGUAUCUAAUCGUCUUGAGUCAACAUAAAACCCUCCAUGAGAUUCAUAGUUGAAUUACUUGGGUUCCUUGAUUGUAGACCAUGCGGAUUUGAAAUUGUCUUUCAUUCCAAAGCAUAACUUGUAUUGAUGCUCUUCAUAUUCGCCUGAAGUCCGCUUCCAAAAAUAUGGCCAUCCCUACUUACACCCUUAUGUCAAUCCACAAGCCUUUCAUCCAUUCUUAUUGGAGCACGGCGAGGGGACAAGUCAAAAUAGAAAAACUUACAACUCAUUGAGAUCUGCAGGAUAUUCAACUGGGAUUUGGCAUUGCAAUUUGCCAGAAUUUUCUUCAAGGUUCAAGGUUGACAAGAUGAAAACAGUAAGGGACACUCUUAGCAUGGUCCGGUAGACACUUAUCUUUUGGUCAGCGAGAAAAAUAGGACAUGGCUUAAAGUCUCAUCGAUUGCACAACAUAACUAUUUGGAAAUAAUUCUAAUGAAAACAAACAACAGGGAAACUACAACAGUAGAAAACUUACAGUAAUCUAGCUGCUGUGGCAACAAGCAGUACCAGUGUCAAAAAAGUUCAAACGAUUUCAGAUAUAAUUUCACAUGAACCCAUUACAUUAUCAAUCCUAACCUGUAAAAUAUAAUCCUCAAUGGCUUCUGCCCUGUUGCCUUCCUAAAAGAUAUCAGAAGAUCUCUGCAGAAAAGAGUAUGUAUUAUAAAUACUAAUACAUGCAAAUGAGGUGAGCAGAGAGAGGGAGAGUCCACCACUGAUGAGAACAAAUUAUCGUUACCUGAUCAUGCCACCACUAACCGUCCCACGAACAGGAUCGUGCCAUGUUUUAUACAAGUCUUGUAUGAGUUCCUGUCUGUGAGCUUGAGCACAAACUAAUCCAGCGUAUUUUGUCACUUCAGGCCAAUCCUGUGAAGCUACUACCUACAGUUGGAUGAAAACCUAUCAGUAACAAUGUCUGAACAAAUGAUGCAUGAAUGAAAAGAUUCUAAGAAACAUGAAAUUUGGUAAAGAACUAUACAGCAGCAAUUGAGGGACUAGAAUCUUCCCCAUUUUCUGGAUGAGUCACAUCUGCUCCAAAUAUUAUAGUUGGGAUGUCGCUAACUAAUGGAAUUCGACAACUGAUAGCAUCCAGUAGCACAGUAUUUCUGCCACCCAUCUACAGAAAAGUAAAAGGAGGGAAAUGAACAUCGGUAAUUUGACAGGACAUAAAGGAUCUGCAUUAAUGAGAACUUUACAGAGUUACGAUGCGCAUGUUUGCCAAUUGAUAGUAUAAAUUUCAGAACCAUAAAUAUUAUACAUGUCUUGCCAUUCUCAUAAUAGUGCCAAACUAAGUAGCUGUGGAAUAAUUCAUUAUCUGUGAUAAUUCAAGAAGCCCUCAAAUCCCAGGACUA
Mangifera indica (mango) is the source of this 2181-nucleotide long non-coding RNA. RefSeq lists it as uncharacterized. The record is from RefSeq and is a predicted model, not a curated record. NCBI's taxonomy places the organism in Eukaryota, Viridiplantae, Streptophyta, Magnoliopsida, Sapindales, Anacardiaceae. The transcript has 2 exons.